This 5569-nucleotide long non-coding RNA is filed under the name Volvox carteri. RNAcentral describes it as "long non-coding RNA (VCAR_LNC001786)". The stretch from base 1161 to 1232 matches the Rfam family "tRNA". Lineage: Eukaryota; Viridiplantae; Chlorophyta; Chlorophyceae; Chlamydomonadales; Volvocaceae. The record is from RNAcentral.
AGAAACGCGCGUUAACGAACUGCAAAACAUUACACGUACUUCCAACCGCGGGCUGGACUGCCGAUGAUUCUUCGCUUCUUCACUGUCUGUUAGGUUUUCUUGUUAGUCGUUAAGUCGUUAACUUUACUCGUGGACGAUCAUUUGAGAUAUGGAUAAUGUACGACCUUUCGGCGCCGCCUAGGCUCUGGUUGACUAUUUAAGUCGUUGUUGUUGUUUAGUUUGUUAUGUCAUCAUUGUUACAUCUUGUAGGUUGUUAGCUGGCUUAAGUCGCUCGGCCCUCUUUGUAAUCAUCGUGGCAUCCCAACGAGAAACGGAGCCUAUGCCCUUUCAGUUGGUAUCGAUCUAGACGAUCCGGCCUAUACGCUCCGCCUUCGUCUUUAUCGUCUUCGUCUUCGUCUUCGUCUUCGUCUCCGUCUUCGUCGUCAUCGUCAUCGUCAUCGUCAUCGCCUUCGUCAUCGUCAUCGUUAUCGUCAUCGCUUCGCUGGUCAUCUUCGUCUUCGUCAUCCUCCAAUGGCUCUCGUCCCCACAGACGUCCACCGCGACCGCUCCCGUUCACGGUCUGCAGAACUUCCGGGCAACAUCCACCUGUCGCCAUUCACGCUCGACCCCUCUCCCAUCCCCCCUAUCGUCCACUCCGCCCCUACCGUCCCCAUCGUCGACCCCGUCCCCACCACCUCCGACGCCGCUACUUACGUCCCCUCGCUCCAGGAGGCUAUCACCUCCGCCGUCCGCGCCGCAAUGGCCGAACUCCCUCCGGCCCCAUGGUCGACCGCCCAACAGCCCCAUCCCGGACUUUACACCCCCCUCCCUACCAUCGCCCAACCUCGGCCGCCACAUCUGAACCUCUUGCAUGUGUCCCGUGACUUUCCCCCCUUCGACCCCAAGGAUCCCCGUGCAGACAUCGGGGGCUGGGACAUCCAAAUGCGACACAACCUGGAUAUGGCCGGCGUCCCCGAGGAUAGUNNNNNNNNNNNNNNNNNNNNNNNNNNNNNNNNNNNNNNNNNNNNNNNNNNUGCCUAUCUCAGCAGACUGCUAAUGGUACUGCGGAGACAGGAUGAGUCACUGGGAUCUAUGCAGUGUGGCCCCGGGCACCGAUGCUUCCUAGCAGGGCUAGGUAAUGCGGUGGUGUGAAGUUGGUUGGAGGUUGACACAGAUGGGAGGGGGCUUUAGCUCAGUGGUAGAGCGCGCGCUUCGCAUGCGUGAGGUCACCGGAUCGAUCCCGGUAAGCUCCAAAGCACUGCACAGGCACGCGCCGGAUCGGGCCAUGAGGAGACCAUUCUUCCGUGUGCACGUGCCGACAUGGAUUUGUCCAGACGUUUGUCUGAAUUCGCUCAAUUGUAUAAAAUAACUACGACUAGGUCUCUGGCCAAAGCUACUACGUUGUCAAAAAAGGUUCUUGUUGGAGUAGGUUAGGUCCCCCUUCGGUAAUGUCGUUUUACUAGUAGCUCUUUCCCCGAAGGGGGGAUGCCGUAGUUCCUAAUGUAGUAGGCAUAUGGACAGAGCCUAGUUGUAGUUUAACUACAUUACUAGUUACCCUUCGGGAUUAGCGGAGCCAACAUUAACGAGGGCUUUGCCCCACCGAACUACAUUGUGUCAACCUGCGGCCGAAAGGACAAACUCAGCAGCUUUAGUCGCUAUUUUAGUCCACAAGACUGGUGUCUUUGUUGUGAACUAAGCCGUGGCGUUGGGCGGAAAGCAGAUGUACAUAACAGAGGACGGAGAGGGGCUUUAGCUCAGUGGUAGAGCGCGCGCUUUGCAUGCGUGAGGCCACCAGUUCAAACCCGGUAAGCUCCAAGAAACAAAUGCAGAUCGAAGACAUUAUAACAUGUUACUAUACUAUGAGGGUUGUUUAAAUAAAAGGAGUUAAAUGAGCCUGUGGUCGUAUGAUUCCAUCUCUUAAAACCUCGACUCGAUUGUAUUGCGCGGUUAGCAGGUACGGGGAAUGCACCCCACGAUCAUGUAACACGCACAGAUGCAACACACACACUAUACAUAUAGAUACUCUUGCUGACAUUCAGCCGCCACGUGUCAGGACGGGAACAAGAAGAGAAGCAAAGUAGAUGAUCUUGUCUUGCACAGAAAAAUAGAUGUGUAUAUGAUCUAUUUAUUGUAUCAUAUGUGUAUAUAUAUGUGAUAUGAUAAACAAUUAAAACACACACAUAUAUAUAUGUAUAUGUAUAUUAUUUAUAUUGGUAUGGGUGUGCACUCGGUGCUUCAUCAUAUCACUCGAUGGUGUAUGGGUGAUAGGCGACAUGCCAGUCCUCUUUCAAAGGACUCAUCGAAGUGGAGCAUUUAUAUUUUAUCCUCGGGUCCCGAUGAUCAUACCACAUCCAUCUGCAUCAUGACAUCAUGCGUCACGUGACGACUGGCUGACACAGCAUGCAGGGAUAUGUUCACUUCAGUUCAUUAGGUAAAGCGCAAUCCUACCUGGGUAUCCACUUCGAUGUUCCCUUCUGAGUGCACGAAUUAUCUUCAUAUCAUAGUGUCAUAGUGUGGAUGUGUUACUUCACUUCACAAAUGUGAUGGACAUACAUACCCACGCACGAAGUAGUGUCCAUUCUGGCGGCCAGUUGACAUUUCGCAACGCCAUACACACACAUACAUACACAUACAUACACACCGAGCGGAUGCAGGCGAUUGAGAACUGAAUACUGUAGCAACUGCCGUACAGUAUAACACAUGUACAUCAGCAAAGUGCAUGCAUGCACUUUUUUCACAAGCUCCUGUCCNNNNNNNNNNNNNNNNNNNNNNNNNNNNNNNNNNNNNNNNNNNNNNNNNNCGUCCCCUACUUCGUCGUCUUCGUUUCCUCUUAUUUCGUCGUCUCCGUCGUCCACUACUUCGUCGUCUUCGUCUUCUCUUAUCUCGUCGUCUCCGUCGUCCCCUACUUCGUCGUCUUCGUUUCCUCUUAUUUCGUCGUCUCCGUCGUCCACUACUUCGUCAUCUUCGCCCUCUCUUAUCUCAUCUUCGUUGCCUCCUACUUCAUCGUCUUCAUCCUCAAUCAUUUCGUCACCUCCGUCCUCUACCAUGUCGUCACCUACGUCGUCAACUACUUCGUCGUCCCCGCUUACCACCACCUCCCGUGUUCGACAACUCACCCACCACUUCGCAACCCCAAAACCACUCACACCCCCAACCGCGGAACAACCUCCGCCGUCCCGCUCCAACGUCGCUCGUCUCAUCGCCCGCUUCUCACCCUCGCCCCCAGCCCCACAACCCUCCACGGCUCCCGUACCUUCACCUACUCCUACCCCGCAACCACCCACCAGUAUAACCGCUCCACCUCCGCGCGUCUCCUUCGCUUCUCCCCUCGUCUCACCACCUACCCCUCGCCCUACCCUCCCUCGCCCCCAACCCAUCCCUCGUCCAGCACUCAAGCAGCACCACCGUCUUCGCCAACCUCCGUUACCACCCGUCGACGAAAACACACCCACUUCACAGGUCCCUCUACCCCCUAUCCUCGGCCGCCUGACAGCCGCCGAUCUCUCCUCCACACUCAUCGUCUUCGACGCCCACAUCGCUGGAUGCCCUGCUCGAAUCCUUCUUGACUCCGGCGCCUCACACAACUUCAUAGCCAACGAUUUCAUCAACCGCUCCCACCUCCGUCCCGCCAAUCUUCCACCGUCUCAAGCCUUCCGAGUCCGCCUCGCCAACGGACAUCUCGCUCUCUCUUCCGCCGCCCUUGCCAACGUCCACCUCUCCAUCCAAUCCCACCAUGAGCUUACCACCUUCUACGCCUUGGACCUUGACGGGUACGAUGCUAUCCUUGGUAAGCCUUGGUUAACCCAGCACAACCCCAACAUCGAUUGGCAGUCCAACACCGUCACGAUAGGCAAUACACUCCUUUCGGGCUCAACCCCCCAGCCACCCAUGUUCGCCAUCGAAUUCGUCUCCGCCGCCCGCAUGCAGAAAUGCAUUCGUCAAGCCAGCACCGGCACCACCCCAUUUUACGCCAACUACGGUUUCCAUCCCACCACCCCCGCCACGAUUAACACCCCCCCUUCCAAACCCGCACACACCGCCGCCGCUGAUCUCCAUGCCCACAUCCGUGACAUUCAUUCUACCAUCACCGCCGAACUCGAAGCAGCUAAAGUUCGAUAUGCUGCCGCCGCCAACCAACACCGCCGCAACCUCACCUUCCAAGUUGGCGACCGUGUUCGCCUCUCCACCACUAACCUCACCUUACCCGACUACCCCUCCGCAAAACUCCGACCUCGCUACAUCGGCCCUUUUACCAUUAGUGCAGUCAUUUCCCCCGUCGCUUACCGCCUCCAACUUCCACCUACCCUCGGCCGCAUCCAUCCCGUUUUUCACGUCUCCCGCCUGCUUCCGUGGACGGACAACGAUCCUACGCUCUUCCCCAACCGUCCUCCAGCUCCGCCCGCCGUGCCCAUCACACUGGAGUCACCGUACGACCACGCCGACACUAUCGUUACUGCAGUUCGCCUAGGUUAUAACCGUCGUGGUCGGCCGUCCGUCAUGUUCCUAGUUCAGUGGUCUACCGCCAGUGGCCGUGACGCGUCCUGGGAACCGUACGAUGAUGUACGCAGCCUUCCAGCACUUCGUGCCUUCCUGGCGACCCCAGCCUGGACCGCGUUUAAGCUGUCAGACCGCUAUGCCUGGUUCAGAGCGAAGUUUCCGGAACGCGCCCCGAGGAUAGUGCACUUCAUGACAACCUAGCGCUCCGCAUAGGAUGGUGUUGUGUGUGACUCGUGUCCUGUGUGUUUUCAGUUUUGGGUUAUUUCGCCUCAGUUUUGCGCGUGUCGUGUCUUGACUUCGGUUUUUUUCGGGGUAUUGCGUGUUGCAUGUUGUGUACUUUCGUGUUUUCUUGCGUUAUUUUGCCAUCCACCGAGUUUGCUUUUCUGUGCCUUAGGCUUAUGAUUUGCGUACUCUUUGUGGAUGUUUCUGGACACGUUCGUUUGGUCGUAGACCGGUUCCUUAGACCGGUAGAUAUAGGUGUCGUGCACCUUAUUUAGGCCGGUAUCCAGUGCGGGGAAGGUUUUGCCUUGACUCCGGUUCCCUUUUGCCUUCCCCUCGUUAGCCUGGUACCGAUUUCGUUCAGGGAAUCGGAGCGGCGCACGACUUAGCAUAGUUUGUACUUUGGUCGCAUCGAGGCCGAUGCUUGAGCUAAGCAGGGGGGCAUGUUAGGUUUUCUUGUUAGUCGUUAAGUCGUUAACUUUACUCGUGGACGAUCAUUUGAGAUAUGGAUAAUGUACGACCUUUCGGCGCCGCCUAGGCUCUGGUUGACUAUUUAAGUCGUUGUUGUUGUUUAGUUUGUUAUGUCAUCAUUGUUACAUCUUGUAGGUUGUUAGCUGGCUUAAGUCGCUCGGCCCUCUUUGUAAUCAUCGUGGCAUCCCAACGAGAAACGGAGCCUAUGCCCUUUCACUGUCGCUGCCUGAGAACUCCUGGCGGGCGCUCGCCCCUCCCAAGCGUUCAAUAGCGCAAUUAUUACAUUUCCUGAAAACUACCAACGGAUUUAUCUUUUAUUGUACUUUUGAAGCUCGUCCUCAGAGCCCGAAGGAAAGAAGAAAACACAGCAAUAGCCUCCUAUCGUGGUACGCACCGGUGUACG